Molecule: long non-coding RNA, 2404 nt
Filed under: Gallus gallus (chicken)
Lineage: Eukaryota; Metazoa; Chordata; Aves; Galliformes; Phasianidae
Description: lncRNA (ENSGALG00010022884.1)
Source: RNAcentral
AGCUCCUUGGUGUGUUUGAUGUUUUAAAGACCUAUCAGUGACAACGCAGCAAUACAGAAGAGUCUCUCAGACUACAAAGGAAUCUGGAAGGAUUUGAUAGCUGAGGCUUUUCUUGUCGCAAGAACAAAGGCAACUACUGCUCAGAUUUUCUGUGUCCUGCAAGCUUUGGAGAAGGUGAUGAGCAGAGGGUGCCCUCCACCAGAACAGCGAGCCCUGCAUCCUCUGGGUGUCCAUCUGUCCAUCCUGCAUAGCCCUGCGGUGCUAUUGCAGGGGAGGAGCAGACCAGGUGUCCCAGACAAGGUUUGCAAACCAGGACGUGACUGCACCCAGCCUGCGCCCGGCACGUGCAGCUGUUCAAUGUCUACGGUGUGGGAUUAAAAUAGCCAGCGUGCUCCUUGUGUCCCACAGCUCUCUGCUUUGCAAAGCUGGAGCCCUGCAGCAGCCUUCUCCCACAGCCCCACCGAGGGACACCCCUGGGCCAAGGGCACUGCAUGGUGAAGGCAUGCACUUGUAUGGGGCCUGCAGAGCUCCGGGCUGUGCCCUUGGGGACUGGCUGUUCGUGGGCUUAUUUCAGUUUUUGGAGACUGGAGUUAGCAGAGUUUCAUGGGAACGCUUUAUACUUCUGCUGUACGUUUGGUUCAGUAUUUUCUAACAGUUCUAAAUCAGUUACUCAUUUAACCCAGGCUGAGUAAUGAGACUUUGAUAGGCUGAAAUUUUGGCCUCGGAGCAAUAAAGUCUUUCUAAAUACUGCAGAAGCCGAAAUAUUUAUUUUUGGCUUUGUUCACUGUCUGAAGUGAUGAAAGGAUUCUUUCAGGCAGCUGUUCUCUGCGUCUUGUAAAGUUGGCUGCCCCACAGAGAGGGAGAAAAAGAUGCUCCCCUGACCUUCCGACGCUCUCUGUGAGCCUCAUGCUUCAUAUAGAGCCUCUUCUGCUGACCUCCCCGGAGCCAGAGACCACUUGGAUGUCACCGUCUUGGGCUGUCACCUUCCAACACACACUGCUGCCCAAGGAGGGAGAAGCUCAUUCUGUCAUUAAGGCUUGGGGGAGCCUGGAUCUGCUCCUCUGUCGCAGGUUUCUUAUGUGAGGCCAGAUAGACUGUUUGGGUGCUGUGUAUGGAAUUAAAGAAUAACAGGAGCUGGCAGAAAGGUGCGUGGGCUCAUGUCCCAGGCCUAUGCAGUGCUGGACCUUGGUGACUGUGGAAGGAUGUGACUGUGGAAGGAUGGAGCAGAGCAGUGCUGACCCCAUUGCAGGGACAACACUGUAUCUCUGGGGCUCUUUGGCGUUGGUUCCCUCUCACCAAGCACGGGUCCGUAUUGUGGAGACAAUGAAGAUAGAAGCAAAGGGUGAACGUGGAGACCAACUUCUCCCAUUUCAGGUUGUGCCUUCCAGUAAUUUUCAUAGAAUCACAGAAUGGUUUGAGUUGGAAGGGACCUCUGAAUGCCGUCUGGUCCCACUGCCUGCACUGAGCAGGGACACCCACAGCUCCAUCAGUGCUCAGAGCCCCAUCCAGCCUGACUGUGGGUGUGUGCAGGGAUGGGGCACCGCUACCUCUCUGGGCACCCCGUGCCAUUCCUCACCAUCCUCAGUGUAUUACUGUGCCCUUAUUUUGGGGAUGUUUUCCAGGAAAGCACUGCCUGUCGCUGCCAACCUGGUAGCUCCUCUUCUGCCCUGCUGGGGCUGUUGGCUUACAAUCAACUUCAUGUGGAAAUUAUUUUUAACAAAUAUUUCUUAUGGAAAUAUUCUAUUUACAGCAUGUGCUAAAAGCAUAAAACGUGAGAAGGCAGAUUUGGGCACUGUAUUAUUAUUAUUUUUUUUUCCUCAAGGACUCAGGGAAUAUUUUGCACAGAUAUUUUAAACAGCUGUUAUAUUUAGCAAGUCUAAGCUUGAUACGAGAAGUAAAUAAAUCAAAGCAGCAAACACAACAGAAGAAAAAGAGAAGCCACAAUGCAGGUUUUGAGCCUGUCCAAAACGCGUGGGUUUGGAAUACAUUUGUAUUUGGAAAUGCAGCAUCUCGGAAGCAGUGCAGGUGGGUGAAGGGUUUGAAGCAUUGUGCUGCUCUAACACAGCACUGAAAGCUGAUAAGGAUGGAAAAUGGUGUUUUUCUGGAGGUUAAUUGGAAUUUAAGUGGAAUGGACCUCAGAAGCAUCACAGUGUGCUGAUGCUGCUCUGGGAUUUGUAGUCAAAUAGCCUUUGUAGUCCUUGUGUUGUCCUGGUGGGUUUCUCCAAUCUGGGCAACUGAGAGCCUGUGGCUACAAGAUACCAACCUAAGGUGUUUGGAAGAUGCCCUGCAGGGCUGUUAUGGGGAUAGCAGCGCCUUGCAAGUCACUUCUCAACAGAAGGCCGAGGAGAUGAGGUGUGGACAUCAGAGCACAGGGCAGGACGGAGGCUGAGCACAGCAGAACUGA